AACAAACGCUGGCGGCGUGCCUAAUACAUGCAAGUCGAACGGGGAAAGUAGCAAUACGAGUACUAGUGGCGCACGGGUGAGGAAUACAUGGGUAAUCUGCCCUCGAGCUCGGGAUAACCAGUCGAAAGACUGGCUAAUACCGGAUAUGACCACAAGAUCUGAGGAUCAAGGGGUAAAAGGUUUUUCGCUUGAGGAUGAGCCCAUGUGGGAUUAGCUAGUUGGUGUAGGUAACGGCUCACCAAGGCGACGAUCCCUAACUGGUCUUAGAGGAUGAUCAGUCACACUGGAACUGAGACACGGUCCAGACUCCUACGGGAGGCAGCAGUAGGGAAUAUUGCACAAUGGAGGAAACUCUGAUGCAGCGACGCCGCGUGAGUGAUGAAGGCCUUCGGGUCGUAAAGCUCUGUCGUAUGGGACGUAACAAAAUGAAGGUACCGAUGCAAGAAAGGAUACGGCUAAC
This 460-nucleotide ribosomal RNA is filed under the name uncultured bacterium. RNAcentral describes it as "bacterial SSU rRNA". It matches the Rfam family "Bacterial small subunit ribosomal RNA", at positions 29 to 501 of the family's 1533-position model. The record is from RNAcentral.